UUCAGAUUGAAUUGUCAGGCUGUUUGAUGAACUAUCACUUCUUCUAAUCAAGAGAUCUCUCUUAUUUAAAUCUAAUCUUUAGCAAUUUUAAUGGUAUCCAUAGCUUUUCUUCUCCUAUGGAAACAAAAGCAAAACCUCUUCUCCAACUUAGGAUGUAUCCUGGUUUUCAUUUUGAGUUCAACACAUCCUUGAAAUAAACCAGUUGGGUUAGCUCAGAAGCUUUAUCUGUUGUCCA
Molecule: non-coding RNA, 235 nt
Organism: Peromyscus maniculatus bairdii (prairie deer mouse)
Lineage: Eukaryota; Metazoa; Chordata; Mammalia; Rodentia; Cricetidae
Source: RefSeq, a predicted model, not a curated record